Osmerus eperlanus (European smelt) is the source of this 140-nucleotide small nucleolar RNA. Lineage: Eukaryota; Metazoa; Chordata; Actinopteri; Osmeriformes; Osmeridae. The record is from RefSeq and is a predicted model, not a curated record.
GUGCACUGAAUUUGAACCUGUGAGGCCCCUUCAAUGGCAUUUCAGGCCAAGCUUCAGUGCUAUAGCAACUCCAGGCUUGCUUAUAACUGGGGCCUCCAGGCUACUUCUCCUGGUCGCUCUUUUAAAAGCAACUCACACGU